UUCUCACUCAGUGCUUUCUAAAGAUGGUGAAACACUUGGAGAAUGAGUAGAUAUAAAGGGGGCUCAGUUGGAGGAAGCAGAGCUGGUUGGUCCGAACCCAACUUAAUAAUGGGGAUAGAUCUCUCAUCCUGGGCAGAGAGACCUUCCUGGAGGAAUUUUCUUCCCAAGCUGUGCCUGGUCUUUACAAGUUACUCCAUCUGCAUGAACUAUUGAACCUUCCCUGAGAACCUGUCAUGGACUUGCCCAACUUCUGUUGGAACAGCUCCAACCACAAGGAGAAUCUCAUGCUGAUCAAAAUCUUCUCAAAGUCCUCAGCUCCUCCUACCCCACAGGAAUGCUCCUAUUUGACCAGCAAGAAAACGAUGGACAAACUGACAAGCAGCAACUUUUCUUACACUCCUCAGAGAACUAAGGUUGCAGGACAAACUGCUAGACCAGAACCUAGAGAGACAGGUGGACCCAGAGAGAAACAGUGGAAAUCUGCUUACCCUGGGUAGAAACUAUUGGAACCUUAAACUGGCGAGAUUCAUUCGUGUGAAUUUGUAUGGGUGUCUAACAGCAGAGCCAGUUUCGCUGCUUGGGGA
RNAcentral lists this long non-coding RNA (584 nucleotides) under Equus caballus (horse). RNAcentral describes it as "lncRNA (ENSECAG00000041920.2)". Lineage: Eukaryota; Metazoa; Chordata; Mammalia; Perissodactyla; Equidae. The record is from RNAcentral.